CCUGUGACUUCACACCUUUGUGCACUCAGCUAAAUGUUUCUGCGGGAGUUAUUUUUACUUUUAGCAGACAUGAUAUUUUGAGACGCCAGAAUAUUCUAGCCAUGACAGUUAAAACACAUAUCCUGUGUUUGCACCAUUUUGUGUCUCUGCAUGUCUAGAACAAAUAUAAAGUACUUGCAAGUUACAGCACAAUAUGAUGCAUGAUCCCCAGAAAUGUAAUGGGUUGUUUAUAAUUUCUCAUUUUAUUGGAUGAUUAUUGUUAUUGUAUGCUGACUCUUGCAUUAAAGAGAUCAUUAAACAGCUCAUUUUAGAGCAUAUUUGUUGUCAUUAAAGGAACAGUAGCUUGGAAAUGUCUGCCAUCAGAAAUGAUGAUAAAGAGGCACUUCAUAUUGAUAUUAAACAACGAUUAAACACUGGUUGGAUCAGUGUACCUUAAAAUAUAUUGUAAAUUCCACUGCUAAAGCUCAUUACAGCUUUUUUAUUAUUGCUAGAAACAGGUGUCCUAUUUGGAACCACAUUGACACCAUUGGAAGGGUGUCCUUUUUAACUCUGUGCCAGCAUAUGCAACAGAUGGCUCAUAUUUCAUUACCCUAUUUUAAUACAUUUGGUUCAUUCUAACCUUUAAUUAAUUAUUUAAAGCUUUAUUUUAAUAAAAAGUCCCCCAUGGAUAGCUUGCACCAGUUGUAACCAAUGGCAGAGCUUGGCAGCUGGCCUGUUUGGAGCCUGUCUGCGCCCUCAGCUGCCUCCAGACGUGACAGUCGGCUCUCUGUAUAGACUAUCUGACUGUUGGAAGCCUGAAAUAUUUGAAUGUCAUUGGGGGAGGUCAUCUGUGGCUUGAGGAGGGGGCAGGUCAAUAGGGGUUCAUAUAUGCUUCUGCAAUGUAGCAAGUGGAGACUUGCAUUAUAUGGUGGCCAAAUGGCCCUUUUUGAGGCUCCAGGGCCAUCUGUACACCAAUUUAAAUGGUAUAGUCCAAUUUGAACACCCCUCCAUAUUGAGCUAAAAUGGAAGAGCCUCUUUUGCAGUGUUUGCUGGGAAGAAGAAGUACAGUCGGGAUUGGGACUUUGGAGAGGAGGUAGCAAUCUGAAGAGAUCCUUGGGAAAAAAAGAAAACAAGAUCUCCAUUUGGGACAUCCAGUUUUUCUCACUGCAACCAUUGCUGUGGUAUGAGUCACUCCCACACCCUACCCUUAUAUGGCAAAGAGGGGAGGGGCUGUUUCUCAGACCGGACAGUGAAAUGGUGGCUGCUUGUACAAAAACAGCAGCAGCACCAUUAGGAACCAAGCAGCUACAGACGCAUUUACAGAAUCAGCCAAGACUGAAAGCCUAGAAGAA
This 1331-nucleotide long non-coding RNA is filed under the name Sinocyclocheilus grahami. Its description in RNAcentral is "lncRNA (ENSSGRG00000048482.1)". Lineage: Eukaryota; Metazoa; Chordata; Actinopteri; Cypriniformes; Cyprinidae. The record is from RNAcentral.